GCUGCACAGGUGCUGCAUGGCUGUCGUCAGUUCGUGCCGUGAGGUGUUGGGUUAAGUCCCGCAACGAACGCAACCCUUGUGUCUAGUUGCCCCCGCAGGUGAUGAGCCUGCGAGCACUCUAGACAGACUGCCCGUGAUAAGCGGGAGGAAGGUGGGGAUGACGUCAAGUCAGUAUGGCCUUUAUGCCCUGGGCUGCACACGUGCUACAAUGGACGGUACAGAAGGAUGCAAGACCGCGAGGUGGAGCAAAUCCUGAAAACCGUCCCCAGUUCAGAUUGAAGGCUGAAACUCGCCUUCAUGAAGCCGGAUUCGCUAGUAAUGGCGCAUCAGCUACGGCGCCGUGAAUACGUUCCCGGGCCUU
This 361-nucleotide ribosomal RNA is filed under the name uncultured Lentisphaerota bacterium. Its description in RNAcentral is "bacterial SSU rRNA". It matches the Rfam family "Bacterial small subunit ribosomal RNA", at positions 1029 to 1382 of the family's 1533-position model. The record is from RNAcentral. Lineage: Bacteria; Pseudomonadati; Lentisphaerota.